CUGCAAUGACGACUUCUUAGGACACCUUUGGAUUAAUAAUGAAAAGAAUUAAACAAAUUCUGAGCAGC
Tachysurus fulvidraco (yellow catfish) is the source of this 68-nucleotide small nucleolar RNA. RefSeq annotates it as small nucleolar RNA SNORD58. The record is from RefSeq and is a predicted model, not a curated record. NCBI's taxonomy places the organism in Eukaryota, Metazoa, Chordata, Actinopteri, Siluriformes, Bagridae. The transcript has a single exon.